This 59-nucleotide transfer RNA is filed under the name Macrolycus baihualingensis. RNAcentral describes it as "tRNA-Leu". The record is from RNAcentral. Lineage: Eukaryota; Metazoa; Arthropoda; Insecta; Coleoptera; Lycidae.
UGUGGCAGAAUAGUGCUAUAAAUUUAAGAUUUAUCUAAAAAGAAAAUCUUUCCUUAGAA